Molecule: transfer RNA, 67 nt
Filed under: Gehyra xenopus
Lineage: Eukaryota; Metazoa; Chordata; Lepidosauria; Squamata; Gekkonidae
Description: tRNA-Cys
Source: RNAcentral
GGCCCCAGGGGGUGAGCCACGCCAAAAUGCAAGUUUGGAGACGCACCCGAAUAAGGUGCCGGGGCUU